This 301-nucleotide ribosomal RNA is filed under the name uncultured bacterium. RNAcentral describes it as "partial 16S ribosomal RNA". It matches the Rfam family "Bacterial small subunit ribosomal RNA", at positions 509 to 807 of the family's 1533-position model. The record is from RNAcentral.
CAGUCGCCGCGGUAAAACGGAGGGUGCAAGCGUUAUCCGGAUUUAUUGGGUUUAAAGGGUCCGUAGGCGGACUUAUAAGUCAGUGGUGAAAGCCUGUCGCUUAACGAUAGAACUGCCAUUGAUACUGUAAGUCUUGAGUAUAUUUGAGGUAGCUGGAAUAAGUAGUGUAGCGGUGAAAUGCAUAGAUAUUACUUAGAACACCAAUUGCGAAGGCAGGUUACCAAGAUAUAACUGACGCUGAGGGACGAAAGCGUGGGUAGCGAACAGGAUUAGAUACCCCCGUAGUCCCUGUCUCUUAUAC